This 2695-nucleotide long non-coding RNA is filed under the name Daucus carota (carrot). RNAcentral describes it as "long non-coding RNA (DCAR_LNC004852)". The record is from RNAcentral. Lineage: Eukaryota; Viridiplantae; Streptophyta; Magnoliopsida; Apiales; Apiaceae.
AUUUCAAUGAUAAAUAAAAGAAAUAGAGUUGACCCCUAAAACUUCAGGAUCGCACACAGGUUAUAAUACUGAAAACAGAAUAUUCUUACUAAAUGUUAUUACACACUAAAUCUCCACUAUUAGCUACAUUUUGAUUAAAAAAAACACAACUAAUAAUCCAAUGUAACUUUUAACACGAUAUCUCAAAACAAGCUGCCCCACAGUUACAGUUUACAAAACAGUUCAAACUAUACUCCCUACGUUUUCCCUAAAGUGGAACUUAGCUAGCUCGGGUCUCCUUAUCGAACACCUACGUGCCGCCCUAUGCUGACGUGUUGGCUUUGAUCCUAGCUGAAAAGGGUUGGAAACAGUAACAAGAGUGAGCAAAACAUUGCUCAACAAGAUAUAAUAUGAAUAAAGUAAUUUAAUACGCGUUGAAAUGAAAUUAUAAGCUAGGGACGCAAUUUAUACAUGAUAUAACUAAUUAAUGAUGUCCAACGUUCAUAGAAGAAAAUGAACUUAAUUGAAAAAUGAACAACAAUACUCAGGAUCUGUGUAACCACGAGAUUCAUUUAAAGCCUUUUCUUUACCAAAACUCUUUCUUUUUAUUAACUUACAUCCUUCCUUUCAACCAAUUAUUUAAUUCCAAUACUUUUCAACUAAAUUCAUAGACAAUACGGGUAAUCAGCUGCGUAAAGUCUUCCGUCCCGGGCACCGGAUCUAAGUCCCACCGGUAACGAAUCUUUCCGGGCACUGGAUCUAAGUCCCACCGGCAAUGGAUCGUUCCGGGCACUAGAUCUAAGUCCCACCGGUAACGACACUAGGUAUCAAACAGGCAUCUAACUGGCCUUCUGGCUGGACUAUCUACUAGCCUCUUACGCCAACCUUUUAUUUUCAAUUCCACGAUGCUUUAAAACUCAAUUAUUACUCAAUACAUGUUUAAAGUUUAAACUUUGUAAUACAGCUCAUGAAUUAACAAGCUCUCCCGGCUAUAAACAGAAUAUACUUUGAUUGCCAAAGUUCAAGAUAUAAGUAGAUGACACAAGAUCAUACUUAUCUCAUAGUAUCAAUCCAGGAUACCUAUAAAUCAACAGUAAUGCCAAGCUGUAAAAGAGCUCAAUUAUACCUUCAAGAAUUUGACUACAAGAUAAUGAGAACAUAUCUCUUAAAAUGCUAUCAACUAUAAUUCAUCAACUUGUUUUAAUUACAAGAAGGGAUAAAACACGUGCCGCUUUUCACUAUCAAUAUAGAAUAUGAUUACUUGUAAUAGUUACAAGUCAAGAAUAGAAUACUUGCCUGAUAUAUAGCAAAAUCUUGAAACGUGUAGACUUUACACCUUAUCUGACUGCACACACUUGCCCUUAUCCUUUGUUUCAGAACCUAUAUAAAAGACAGUGUUCAGUUGACGAGCAAUCUAAGUCGUCUUCUAAAUUACUAAUUAAAUCUAUCUGCUACCUUUCGUAUGUGCAAAUAAGUAAAAUAGAUUAUUUGCAAGUAAGCAAUUAGUAAUAGUAUAUACACGUUGCGUUACAUAAGCAGGCAUUCACUUUAAUCGGUACUAGAUCUAAUAAUAUUUAUUAUCUUAAGAUUCUCCGAGUCAAAUAAGUCAUAACACCAAAAACUAACUCAAUAUCAACAGGAAUCAAUAUUGAUUAAUACUUAAGACAACUCUGAGUGUCAAGAAUAGUUCAACUUCAAUGAACAUGUAGUUCCCAAUACAAUCCAGUAUCUAGCCAGAAUAGUUAUUCGAUAGUGAAAUCUAGGUGCGAUAACUUAAAAUAAUUGAUGCGCAUAAUCCAUAAAUAAUUCACACCACACGCAUCAGAAAUCGAUCAUAAAUCACUUUUUAAAUAUAAGAUGAAAUCACAAUAUUUUCAAGUUACUGUAUUUAACACAAAUUUGAAUCAAAGUGUAUUAUCCUCCCGCCAUACUCCGGGGUUGCACCAAGGUCCCAUCUGCCCUCGGGUCCCAUAGGUGUACAUAUCUAUUACACCCCUUUUUAUCUCCAGGUUUCCUAUUCCUUUAAGGGUCCUGUUCCACAGCAACCGCGUGUUAGAUAAGGGUUAUCUAACACACUGUACGGGGGUCAUUGGAUUUAUAUUUCAAGGGCUCAGAUCCAAUUUUGGGUUUUUAAUGUAUCCGCGGUUAAUAACCGCGGAUAGGGAGUUUUCCCUUCCGCGGUUUUUUAUAGCGGAUACAUUAAAAUCUCAGAUUGGAUAUGUGCCUUUGAAAUAUAGAUCUAACGCCCCCGUACAGUGUGUUAGAUAACCCUUAUCUAACACACGGUUGUCAAGGAACAUGACCCUUUUUUUAAUCAACCACACAAUUCAACUACCCCUGUUUAUACCUAUCCAUCUUUCUAAUUCUACCCACUACUCAGACCUCACUCCUUCAUCUUAUAUCAGCCUAUCCCUUUUUACAACUCAACUUAACACCUUAAUUAACCGAGCAAUACCAGUGCACACCACCAUCUCCUUCACUUGUAAGUUCAACCAUCUCCACUCAACUCUCCCUCACUCUCACCCCUGGACUCCCUCGAACCAGCUCCCCCAGCCUCCCCAUCCGCAACAACGACCUCACACCAACCCAAUCCGCCACAAACACCAGUACAUACACAACAGGCACAUAAAACCUAUAUACUAAACCAUGGAUUUGUUCGAUUAACUAAAAAGAAUAGAAGAAGUGGAGAUUACCGUGAUUGAUUUCGCCGCCACAA